GACGAACGCUGGCGGCGUGCCUAAUACAUGCAAGUUGAGCGCUGAAGGUUGGUACUUGUACCAACUGGAUGAGCAGCGAACGGGUGAGUAACGCGUGGGGAAUCUGCCUUUGAGCGGGGGACAACAUUUGGAAACGAAUGCUAAUACCGCAUAAAAACUUUAAACACAAGUUUUAAGUUUGAAAGAUGCAAUUGCAUCACUCAAAGAUGAUCCCGCGUUGUAUUAGCUAGUUGGUGAGGUAAAGGCUCACCAAGGCGAUGAUACAUAGCCGACCUGAGAGGGGGAUCGCAAAAAUUGGGAAGGAAAAAAGGCCAAAAAUCCUACGGGAGGAAGAAGAAGGGAAUUUUCGGAAAUGGAAGAAAGUCUGACCGAGAAAGGCCGGGUGGGUGAAGAAGGUUUUGGGAUCGUAAAACUCGGUUGGUAGAGAAGAACGUGGGGGAGAGUGGAAAGCCAAUAAAGUGACGGUAAAUACCCAAAAAGGGAAGGCUAACUACGU
Molecule: ribosomal RNA, 496 nt
Filed under: uncultured bacterium
Lineage: Bacteria
Description: partial 16S ribosomal RNA
Rfam family: Bacterial small subunit ribosomal RNA
Source: RNAcentral